CGUCAGUCUAGUGAGGUCUUAGCUUAGUAAAAGUGUCUGAGUUGCAUUCAGGAGAUGCGUAUUAGAAUUACGCAGGCUUU
This 80-nucleotide transfer RNA is filed under the name Bavayia montana. RNAcentral describes it as "tRNA-Ala". The stretch from base 13 to 80 matches the Rfam family "tRNA". From Rfam's summary of the family: Transfer RNA (tRNA) molecules are approximately 80 nucleotides in length. Their secondary structure includes four short double-helical elements and three loops (D, anti-codon, and T loops). Lineage: Eukaryota; Metazoa; Chordata; Lepidosauria; Squamata; Diplodactylidae. The record is from RNAcentral.